This is a long non-coding RNA of Larimichthys crocea (large yellow croaker), 597 nucleotides long. RefSeq lists it as uncharacterized. The transcript is spliced from 3 exons. The record is from RefSeq and is a predicted model, not a curated record. NCBI's taxonomy places the organism in Eukaryota, Metazoa, Chordata, Actinopteri, Sciaenidae.
AGGCGUUAUAUAACUACAGUCCAUUUACCAAUCUAAGGGACUGUCUUCACCAACUCCUGAUAAAAUGUCCCUUUGGCUAAUUCUUAUCUGUUUGCUGUUUGUUGCUAGGCAGGUUGGUUAGCUUAUUGUACAGUGGGAUUUAUCAGAGCUUGUUUCUGCUAUUGAAAAUCGAGAGUUGAGAUAAGCAGGUUGCUGAGCGGACUCCCUAUUUGAAAGGAUGGGCUCCCUUCCUUCUCCUUACUGAAAACCUGGACAAACAGAUUAGAGCCUCUAGGCCUGAUCCUGGUCCAGCAGCCCUUCAUGGUUUAUGCCACUUAUUCCACUGUCAGCACACCCUCAGCCUGAUCAUAUCUUUUAGGUAAGGUAAACAACACACACUGGAUUUACUGGAGCAAGAAAUGCAGUUAUUUAUUUAAACACUAAAUUACACUGCUUUCAAUGUAGUGCAGCUCUAAGUAAAGUCUAAUAAUCUGAGGCACACGGUUUUGAUUUGUAAUUGAUAUUAGUAUAACAUUCAGUUUUCCUAAAGCUAGAGAUUAUUUGUCAUAUAAUUCAUUGCUUCAAAAUUGAUUUAAACCUCAUUAAGGUCGAACGAAU